RNAcentral lists this ribosomal RNA (253 nucleotides) under uncultured bacterium. RNAcentral describes it as "partial 16S ribosomal RNA". It matches the Rfam family "Bacterial small subunit ribosomal RNA", at positions 524 to 776 of the family's 1533-position model. The record is from RNAcentral.
UACGGAGGGUGCGAGCGUUGUCCGGAAUUACUGGGCGUAAAGGGCGCGUAGGCGGACAGUUUAGUCAGAGGUGAAAGCCCAGGGCUCAACCUUGGAAUUGCCUUUGAUACUGGCUGUCUUGAGUUCGGGAGAGGUGAGUGGAAUGCCGAGUGUAGAGGUGAAAUUCGUAGAUAUUCGGCGGAACACCAGUGGCGAAGGCGACUCACUGGCCCGAUACUGACGCUGAGGCGCGAAAGCGUGGGGAGCAAACAGG